Long non-coding RNA from Vespula pensylvanica (western yellowjacket), 1271 nucleotides. RefSeq lists it as uncharacterized. The transcript is spliced from 2 exons. NCBI's taxonomy places the organism in Eukaryota, Metazoa, Arthropoda, Insecta, Hymenoptera, Vespidae. The record is from RefSeq and is a predicted model, not a curated record.
CGACGACGACGACGACGACGACGACGACGGCGACGACGACGACGACGACGGCGACGACGACGACGACGGCGGCGACGACGACGACGACGACGACGACGACGGCGGCGACGACGACGUCUAAGCCAUAGACGGCUUGGCUCGUGGGCACGUCUCAGCCGCCAUCGAGUACUGACACGAGUGCGCUAGUGCUGCGCUCUGGCGGAUCGCGUCGUCGAUCGGAACCAACGGACGCAACCAAUCAAACCUUCCUUCGAAUUUUCUCUUGUUCGUUCCAACCUCCGCGAUCAUCGCAUUCUUAACAUCGAAUUAUUUUAAUAUUGUGAAUUAAUUCAGUCAAAAGGACUUUUCUUUUUCCUUUUUUCUUCUUUUUCUUUCUUCUUUUCCGUUAAUUUAUUCAUUUCUAUUCAUUUCUAUCAAUGUAUAAUAAUCUUGUCAGAAAUUCAAAAUUUCUUUUUUUCGACGACCGAUUCAAAUUAUUUAGAAAUCAUUUAUGAACCUGUCAUAUCAGUUUUAUCUAAUAUCGUUUUAUUUAUAGUUUCGAAUAAUUUAUAUAUAAUCGCAUUGUUUCUCAGAAUGCUAUUUAAUACGAUAUUGAUGAAUCCUCGUGAUUGUUCAAAUACAACCAAUCAAAUCUUAAAUACGUCGGAAGACAUCGAUAAUUGCGAAGAAUAAUAUGCCAGAAGAGUUAAACAUAUUUGCAUCUGUGGAUUUUCGCAUAACAAGCCAAUAACUGCUCAGGCUGGAACGAUUAUCGUACAUUGAUAUAUUUUAAUAUCAGAGAAUUAGUGACUGAGUUUUAAUAACAUUGGAAUAUUUGGAAGAAAAGAUUUGAUGAGAUUCGUUGCAGAAAUACCAGGGAAGGAAGAAGAAUUAGUACAUGUAGUUGAAUAUUAUAUGCAACAUUUUAUAACAAUGAAUAAUUCUAAUGUACUUUAUAAUUUCUACUGCGACUAUAAAAUACAAUAAAGCAAUGGAUACUAAGCUUGACGUGCUCAGUGGACAUCUAAGAGUUAAGGAGCGUCAAAUUUGAUAAUAAUAAUGAUUUUAUUAAGACGUAUUCUACUUAAAAGGGUAUUCAAAAUUUUAUUAUAAAAGUACAAAAAAUCUAGCGCAAUAGAGUCUAAGUUGGAUAGAAUCCUAAAAAGUAAAAUAUAAGAUAAGAUAUAAAUUCAUUUAUAUAUGGCGAAAGAGAUUAUAGCCGUAUAUAUAUAUAUAUAUAUAUAUAUAUAUAUAUAUAUAUAUAUAUUUGUAGCCACAUAUAAACAAGAGAA